CCCAUGGCAACAAGGGGAAAUGGCUGCUGUUGUGUGAAGUAAACGCAAAAUUUUUCAACAUUCUGCUAAGAUAUAUGUGACUUUUUUGCAACGAAAAUGCAGGGAUUAUGAAAUCAUGCAAGCCCCCCAUAUUUUGCACGGAAAUCGGCAAUUUAUGUGGUGAAAGUGCGGCAUAUUUGAAAAAAAUGCGGGGCCCUCAUAUUCAUGCGGACUUUGGCUGAUUAUGUGUUGAAUUCUGCGAUCGCAUAAUCGUGUUUUUCUGGAGGGACUGUAUAUGAAGAGUGAGGUGAUGUUAGGUUGUUGAUCAUGAAAGGAAAUGUGAACAUAACUUUUUAUUUUAUUUAAACCAUAAAAUUACAAGCAUGAUUUUAAUAUUGCACUAGCUUUUCCCAUCACUAUUUUUCUAUGCCUCAUUCAUUCAUCUCCACUGCUUUCAUAUUAGAGAUCAGAUGACGUCCAGCUGGACACUAACAGUAAGGGAGAUGCAGUGAAAGCCAGCACUGCAGAGUUGCAGAGAUCAGAUGACGUCCAGCUGGACACUAACAGUAAGGGAGAUGCAGUGAAAGCCAGCACUGCAGGGUUGCAGAGAUCAGAUGACGUCCAGCUGGACACUAACAGUAAGGGUGAUUCAGUGAAUGCCAGCACUGCAGAGUUGCAGGUAGGUGCUACAGUACA
Long non-coding RNA from Gadus macrocephalus (Pacific cod), 675 nucleotides. RefSeq lists it as uncharacterized. The transcript is spliced from 3 exons. NCBI's taxonomy places the organism in Eukaryota, Metazoa, Chordata, Actinopteri, Gadiformes, Gadidae. The record is from RefSeq and is a predicted model, not a curated record.